GACGAACGCUGGCGGCGCGCCUAACACAUGCAAGUCGAACGAGCGAGAGAGAGCUUGCUUUCUCGAGCGAGUGGCGAACGGGUGAGUAACGCGUGAGGAACCUGCCUCAAAGAGGGGGACAACAGUUGGAAACGACUGCUAAUACCGCAUAAGCCCACGGCUCGGCAUCGAGCAGAGGGAAAAGGAGCAAUCCGCUUUGAGAUGGCCUCGCGUCCGAUUAGCUAGUUGGUGAGGUAACGGCCCACCAAGGCGACGAUCGGUAGCCGGACUGAGAGGUUGAACGGCCACAUUGGGACUGAGACACGGCCCAGACUCCUACGGGAGGCAGCAGUGGGGAAUAUUGCACAAUGGGGGAAACCCUGAUGCAGCGACGCCGCGUGGAGGAAGAAGGUCUUCGGAUUGUAAACUCCUGUUGUUGGGGAAGAUAAUGACGGUACCCAACAAGGAAGUGACGGCUAACUACGUGCCAGCAGCCGCGGUAAAACGUAGGUCACAAGCGUUGUCCGGAAUUACUGGGUGUAAAGGGAGCGCAGGCGGGAAGACAAGUUGGAAGUGAAAUCUAUGGGCUCAACCCAUAAACUGCUUUCAAAACUGUUUUUCUUGAGUAGUGCAGAGGUAGGCGGAAUUCCCGGUGUAGCGGUGGAAUGCGUAGAUAUCGGGAGGAACACCAGUGGCGAAGGCGGCCUACUGGGCACCAACUGACGCUGAGGCUCGAAAGUGUGGGUAGCAAACAGGAUUAGAUACCCUGGUAGUCCACACCGUAAACGAUGAUUACUAGGUGUUGGAGGAUUGACCCCUUCAGUGCCGCAGUUAACACAAUAAGUAAUCCACCUGGGGAGUACGACCGCAAGGUUGAAACUCAAAGGAAUUGACGGGGGCCCGCACAAGCAGUGGAGUAUGUGGUUUAAUUCGACGCAACGCGAAGAACCUUACCAAGUCUUGACAUCCCUUGACAGGCAUAGAAAUAUGUUUUCUCUUCGGAGCAAGGAGACAGGUGGUGCAUGGUUGUCGUCAGCUCGUGUCGUGAGAUGUUGGGUUAAGUCCCGCAACGAGCGCAACCCUUAUGGUCAGUUACUACGCAAGAGGACUCUGGCCAGACUGCCGUUGACAAAACGGAGGAAGGUGGGGAUGACGUCAAAUCAUCAUGCCCUUUAUGACUUGGGCUACACACGUACUACAAUGGCGUUAAACAAAGAGAAGCAAGACCGCGAGGUGGAGCAAAACUCAGAAACAACGUCCCAGUUCGGACUGCAGGCUGCAACUCGCCUGCACGAAGUCGGAAUUGCUAGUAAUCGUGGAUCAGCAUGCCACGGUGAAUACGUUCCCGGGCCU
Molecule: ribosomal RNA, 1332 nt
Filed under: uncultured bacterium
Lineage: Bacteria
Description: bacterial SSU rRNA
Rfam family: Bacterial small subunit ribosomal RNA
Source: RNAcentral